Molecule: ribosomal RNA, 253 nt
Filed under: uncultured bacterium
Lineage: Bacteria
Description: partial 16S ribosomal RNA
Rfam family: Bacterial small subunit ribosomal RNA
Source: RNAcentral
UACGUAGGGUGCAAGCGUUAAUCGGAAUUACUGGGCGUAAAGCGUGCGCAGGCGGUUUUGUAAGUCAGAUGUGAAAGCCCCGGGCUCAACCUGGGAACCGCGCUUGAGACUGGCGGACUCGAGUUCGGGAGAGGAUGGUGGAAUUCCCAGUGUAGAGGUGAAAUUCGUAGAUAUUGGGAAGAACACCGAUGGCGAAGGCAGCCAUCUGGACCGACACUGACGCUGAGGCGCGAAAGCGUGGGGAGCAAACAGG